GUUUUAUUGCGACAUCAACGGUGUCUUUGUCAAGCCACAAAUUCAAGUGCAUUACACAUAGUGUUGUAUAUAUGGAUACAUGCAACAUUUAACCAGUAUAAUCCAUGUGUUUACAAAUACAAAAAGAUAAGUCCUGCGCUCACUCCCAUCACUCCUGGGCGGCAGGAACAACCACAGUACACAUCAGCCCCAAUAUAUAGUAAAAAACAAAGAAAAAAGUUACCUGCACUCUCUCCUUAAUCCCUAUUGGAGGGAAUGUCCGCCUGCCAACGUCAAGGCAGACCCCCCUAAGCGGGUCCUACACUGACCCUUCACCUUGCUUCCUUGAGCUUCUGGCAAAGAUAUCUCUAAUGAGACAGAGAGGGGUAUUUUAAGGAAAAGAUUGUACAGCAAAUGCUGAUGCCAAUCAUUGAUUAUGGGUAUGUAGUAUAUGCAUCUGCAUCGCAAUCCCACAUUAAUAAACUCAACAAAUUGUAUAACUCGUUCUGCCGUUUUGUGCUACAAUGUAAUUACAGGACUCACCAUUGUGACAUGCUAAAAGAACUAAACUGGCUGUCGCUGGAAUCCAGACGCACCCUUCAUCUUUCCAGCCUUGUGUUUAAGAGCUUUUCUGGGAAACUCCCACCCUACCUGAACAAACUGCUUUCCACAGCUUUUCCCACUUCCUACAACCUCCGAUCCAGUGCCAACACUUUACUUAGUCUACCUCAAUACAAAAAGAAAGCGGCCCGAUCCUCCUUCUCCUACAGAGCACCGCAAUUGUGGAACGACCUCCCGCACACUUUAAAAUCUUCCCUAAGCCUAAAGUCCUUUAAGAGAUCCCUCUCUACAUACCUCAAAACAGAAUGCACGUGUCAUGGUUGAUUAUAUAUUUCCUACCUGUUCUAGGGAAAAUAGCAUGAUGCUCAAUAUAUUAGCAUGUAUAUUUUAUAUGCACUCUAUAUAAUUGUCUUUUUCUUUAGAUCCCUAUAUUUACUAUUGCUUCAGUCAUCUCAGUGUGAGAUGAUUAUUAAUUAAGUUUCUAAACAUUUUACAUACUUUUUAAAGUUUUUUUGCUUUAUUUUGGUUUGUAUGUUUAAAUCAAUAAUUGUCAUGUGAUGCAUGGCCCUUUAAAUAUCCUGAAAAUUAACUCUGCGCCUUAUAACCAGUGGUAAGAUUCUAACUUGAAUAUGAAUGACAUAUUUUAACAAUGACAUUACAGAGAGAAAAUUGUGCAUAUAAGGACUACAACAUUUAUCAUGGAAAUACAAAUAAUGUCAGUAAAAACUGUUUUAUUAAAAGGACUGUGCAAAAGCCAUGAUAGAUUGUGCGUUUAAAUUCAAU
Non-coding RNA from Pelobates cultripes (western spadefoot toad), 1323 nucleotides. NCBI's taxonomy places the organism in Eukaryota, Metazoa, Chordata, Amphibia, Anura, Pelobatidae. The record is from the annotation of a GenBank genome assembly.